Phoenix dactylifera (date palm) is the source of this 133-nucleotide non-coding RNA. Lineage: Eukaryota; Viridiplantae; Streptophyta; Magnoliopsida; Arecales; Arecaceae. The record is from RefSeq and is a predicted model, not a curated record.
UCCGCGAAUCUCCCCCUUGGCCUCUCCCCAUUCUUCAGCGUCCCAAGGACCUUGCUGUACGCCUGUACCAGAUCUUGAGCUGCGGCGGCGGAGAAGAGAAGACAGCUUCUGUGCCCGGUGCGGCGGUGCCCUA